Molecule: long non-coding RNA, 258 nt
Filed under: Solanum tuberosum (potato)
Lineage: Eukaryota; Viridiplantae; Streptophyta; Magnoliopsida; Solanales; Solanaceae
Description: long non-coding RNA (STUB_LNC006400)
Source: RNAcentral
ACUAAUUCAACAGAGCCAUGGUUGCCCCAACACAUUAAUUAAAGGCAUAAGCUUAAGAAAGUCACAGUAAUGUUAUAUUCAAUUGUCAAAUCGUGUUGAUAUAGAGGAGGUGCAAUGUAGAAGAAGCAUCUCCUAGUAAUUUAACUCCAAGGAAGCCAAAUGUAGUGUGUACUUGGGCAUUCCUUGUUGUAUAUGUAUAUUUAUUUCUCAGGUGCUUCUAUAUCUAUUACCAUCAAAAACGUUUUCCUCUUCCUCUUU